UAGGGAAUCUUCGGCAAUGGGGGCAACCCUGACCGAGCAACGCCGCGUGAGUGAAGAAGGUUUUCGGAUCGUAAAGCUCUGUUGUAAGUCAAGAACGGGUGUGAGAGUGGAAAGUUCACACUGUGACGGUAGCUUACCAGAAAGGGACGGCUAACUACGUGCCAGCAGCCGCGGUAAUACGUAGGUCCCGAGCGUUGUCCGGAUUUAUUGGGCGUAAAGCGAGCGCAGGCGGUUUGAUAAGUCUGAAGUUAAAGGCUGUGGCUCAACCAUAGUUCGCCUUGGAAACUGUCAAACGUGAGUGCAGAAGGGGAGAGUGGAAUUCCAUGUGUAGCGGUGAAAUGCGUAGAUAUAUGGAGGAACACCGGUGGCGAAAGCGGCUCUCUGGUCUGUAACUGACGCUGAGGCUCGAAAGCGUGGGGAGCGAACAGG
Molecule: ribosomal RNA, 429 nt
Filed under: bacterium
Lineage: Bacteria
Description: partial 16S ribosomal RNA
Rfam family: Bacterial small subunit ribosomal RNA
Source: RNAcentral